UUAUCAAGGGGUGCUCACAAUUGUGGGCUGAGAUGAUACCCUCGGAACCUGAUACGGACAAUGCCGGCGCAGGGAUGAUGAGUA
Molecule: non-coding RNA, 84 nt
Filed under: uncultured Prevotella sp.
Lineage: Bacteria; Pseudomonadati; Bacteroidota; Bacteroidia; Bacteroidales; Prevotellaceae
Description: TPP riboswitch (THI element)
Rfam family: TPP riboswitch aptamer (THI element)
About the family: Vitamin B(1) in its active form thiamin pyrophosphate (TPP) is an essential coenzyme that is synthesised by coupling of pyrimidine and thiazole moieties in bacteria. The previously detected thiamin-regulatory element, thi box was extended, resulting in a new, highly conserved RNA secondary structure, the THI element, which is widely distributed in eubacteria and also occurs in some archaea. Analysis of operon structures identified a large number of new candidate thiamin-regulated genes, mostly transporters, in various prokaryotic organisms.
Source: RNAcentral